AGCAGCCGCGGUAAUUCCAGCUCCAAUAGCGUAUAUUAAAGUUGUUGCAGUUAAAAAGCUUGUAGUUGAAUUUCGGGAUUUGUCAGUUGGUCGGGCUUCACUGUCCGUACUGACUUGAUGGAUUCUUACCUUCUGAAUAACCAGCAUGCUAUUUAGUUAGUGCGUUGGGGAAGCAGAUCUAUUACCUUGAAAAAAUUAGAGUGCUUAAAGCAGGCUAGUGCUUGAAUAGAUUAGCAUGGAAUAAUAAAAUAGGACGGCAUGGUUCUAUUUUGUUGGUUUCUAGGAUCACCGUAAUGAUUAAUAGGGAUAGUUGGGGGCAUUAGUAUUCAAUUGUCAGAGGUGAAAUUCUUGGAUUUAUUGAAGACUAACUUCUGCGGAAGCAUUUGCCAAGGAUGUUUUCAUUAAUCAAGAACGAAAGUUAGGGGAUCGAAGACGAUCAGAUACCGUCGUAGUCUUAACCAUAAACUAUGCCGACUAGGAAUCGGACGAAGUUAAUUUUAUAAUGACUCG
Molecule: ribosomal RNA, 510 nt
Filed under: uncultured Acaulospora
Lineage: Eukaryota; Fungi; Glomeromycota; Glomeromycetes; Diversisporales; Acaulosporaceae
Description: SSU rRNA
Rfam family: Eukaryotic small subunit ribosomal RNA
Source: RNAcentral